Molecule: unclassified non-coding RNA, 313 nt
Filed under: uncultured fungus
Lineage: Eukaryota; Fungi
Description: partial contains small subunit ribosomal RNA, internal transcribed spacer 1, and 5.8S ribosomal RNA
Rfam family: Eukaryotic small subunit ribosomal RNA (bases 1-73)
Source: RNAcentral
CCAAACUUGGUCAUUUAGAGGAAGUAAAAGUCGUAACAAGGUUUCCGUAGGUGAACCUGCGGAAGGAUCAUUAACAAACAAGAAUUAUCAAUUCUUAAACACCCCCCCGCGUACAUGUAACCGUUGCUUCCGUGAUGCGAACGCGCUGGGUUGCGGUGCGUCUGGCUUCACUUCAAGAAGGGCCCAUCACGGGAGUUGAGUGCAAGAUCGUAGCUGCCAUAUUUCCUGUCUGAGUAUAAGCACGGGAUACAUUCAAACUUUUAAAACUUUCAACAACGGAUCUCUUGGUUCUCGCAUCGAUGAAGAACGCAGC